This 337-nucleotide long non-coding RNA is filed under the name Nicotiana benthamiana. Its description in RNAcentral is "long non-coding RNA (NBEN_LNC018282)". Lineage: Eukaryota; Viridiplantae; Streptophyta; Magnoliopsida; Solanales; Solanaceae. The record is from RNAcentral.
GAUGGUCUAGGAGUUGCUGAACCUGAGCCGCGGAAACCCCCGCAAGAGGUGAGCCAUCAGUGGGAGUAGGAGGCUGCUGCGUUCCUUGAACAGCAGACCCUCCUGUCUUGUUUGCGCGAGCAGGAGGUGGUCGCAGUCCACGACCUGCUGUACCUACCGCACGGCCCCCUCCGCGAGCUGAAGACGUGCUACCACGACCAUUACCACGGCCUCCUCGAGGCCUAUCACCCCACCAAUCCGGGUAUCCAUGAAGCUGAAAGCAAGAGGCUUCGACAUGCCCCUCACGAUUGCAAUAGGAACAAAGUUUAUCCGAAUUAUCAGGUCGAUUAAACUUNNN